UUGGACACGGGGCCUUUUGUGAGGUCAUUAAGGUUGAUAAGGUCAUAAGGGUGGGGCCCUAAUCCCCCAGGACUGGUGUCCGUAUAAGAAGAGGAAGAGACACCAGAGAGUCUGUGUGUGUGCAGAGGAAAGGCAUGUGAGGACACUGGGAAAAGGUGGCUGUCUCUAAGCCAAGAAGAGCAGUCCCACCAGAAACCAACCCUGCUGUCACCUUGAUCUUGGACUUCGAGCCUCCAGAACUGCAAGAAAAUCAAUUUCUGUUGUUUAAGCCCCCAACUGAACAGCUCAGAUCCAGUGAGUUCCUAAGACUUGGCCAAGAAGGCUCUGCAGUUAGUGAAGCACAGAGACUCGAAUCCAGGACCCACCUCCAGCCCCUGGGAUACAGAAGGAAAACUCAAACUCAGGGGCUCAAGGACAUGUCAAAGGCACAGACAUAUGUUCCUGCAUUGAUCAAAUCAGGCUGUGCAGGUGGUUCGCUGCUCUGUGGACCAGCACAGCACUCGUAUCUAGUGGGUGUCUGAUAAAUACAUGCUGCUCGCCAGAAGGAACAUCAAGAGUAGAAGCCCAUUGCUCUCUGGUGACUUUUGUUUUCUUUCAGAAUGCAUAAACAGGGGGCCUGCUCUCCACGUGUAAACUGAUCUGGUGCAAUUCAGAUAGAAUAUAUUCUAGGACUGGUGCCUUCUUCAACUCAUGCAAAUAAAAGUGCAGCAUGGUCCAAAGUACUGGAGUCAUGAGAAGGUUAUCAUCUUGGAAAGAACACAGUGGUGGCACUAUCUCUGCAAGCAAAGGUCAAGAAAUUUGUCUCUAGAUGUCACAAGAAAAUCAGAAUAAGUGCAUAUUGCUGUAUUCCAAACUGUGACCCCAGGAAGUCAACAGACAGCCCAACUGCUGCCACUGCCCACAGGAGGCAGUUGGUACAGAGAUGACACUGAAGGGGACAAGACUACGAGCUACAUUACCAACAAAGUCUUGACUCACAAAAUGAUAUUUGCUUCUGGUCGCCAAUUGGACUUCUGGCUCUCCUCAACCAGCUUGUUAAUGGGAGUUUUUGUCAAAAAGAGCACUGAGUAGGGGAGUGAAUGAUGUGUGAAGCUAGAAAUUGUAAAGAAAAAGCAAUACAGUUCAGUAGGGAGAGUGCAGAUUUAGACUAGCAUCUGGGUCUGAGAUCCCACUUCUGUGCGACAGCCAGGAGCAAGUUCCUUUCUCUCUCUGAGCCCGUGUGUUCUCAUCUAUAGACUGGGGAUAGUACUACCUUGUGGGGGGUUAUGCAUUUACAAUGCUUAAUACUUGGAAGGCAUGCAAUAAGUGCUAACUAUUAUUACUAUUAUUAAUCUGUUGGAAACGAAAAAUUCAAAGCAUUUCUCUAUUACUUAUUGUGGAAUAGUACUGACGUCUUUUCAUAAUUUAAGUCCAUAUUUCAGAGUAAAAAAGACAUGAUGAUUGAUAUUUACUGGUUUGACUUAUAAAGUAAGAGUGACUUUUUACGUUAACUGACACACAUUUGAUUAGAAGCUUGGUCCUUCAACUUUAAAAAAUAAAGUAAUAAUAUUGAAACCGUAGAAGUAAAUCCUAGCAGCUGCUUGAGGAAUAAUUUCAAAUUGUGCAAGAUCACAAAUGAGAAGGCUAGCUAUCACUUGGAUGACUGUGUGUCAGAUUCUGCUCCUGAGACCUUUAUAUCCGGUAACUCACUCAAAUGAAGUAUGAGCAUAAUUAAUUUAAUAAGCCACUGUUGGGGAACUCUAGUAAACAUAUUUGAUGAGUUGAAAGGCGUGGUCUGAGUUCUGUGUUUGUUCAACCUGGGAGUUUGUUACUAGAUCUGGG
RNAcentral lists this long non-coding RNA (1821 nucleotides) under Equus asinus (donkey). Its description in RNAcentral is "lncRNA (ENSEASG00005028346.1)". Lineage: Eukaryota; Metazoa; Chordata; Mammalia; Perissodactyla; Equidae. The record is from RNAcentral.